RNAcentral lists this ribosomal RNA (870 nucleotides) under Wolbachia endosymbiont of Litomosoides brasiliensis. RNAcentral's name for it is "bacterial SSU rRNA". It matches the Rfam family "Bacterial small subunit ribosomal RNA", at positions 152 to 1056 of the family's 1533-position model. The record is from RNAcentral. Lineage: Bacteria; Pseudomonadati; Pseudomonadota; Alphaproteobacteria; Rickettsiales; Anaplasmataceae.
GGAAACGGCAACUAAUACCGUAUACGCCCUACGGGGGAAAGAUUUAUUGCUAUUAGAUGAGCCUAUAUUAGAUUAGCUAGUUGGUGGGGUAAUAGCCUACCAAGGCAAUGAUCUAUAGCUGAUCUGAGAGGAUGGUCAGCCACACUGGAACUGAGAUACAGUCCAGACUCCUACGGGAGGCAGCAGUGGGGAAUAUUGGACAAUGGGCGAAAGCCUGAUCCAGCCAUGCCGCAUGAGUGAAGAAGGCCUUUGGGUUGUAAAGCUCUUUCAGUGAGGAAGAUAAUGACGGUACUCACAGAAGAAGUCCUGGCUAACUCCGUGCCAGCAGCCGCGGUAAUACGGAGAGGGCUAGCGUUAUUCGGAAUUAUUGGGCGUAAAGGGCGCGUAGGCUGGUUAGUAAGUUAAAAGUGAAAUCCCAAAGCUCAACUUUGGAAUUGCUUUUAAAACUGCUAAUCUGGAGGUUGAAAGAGGAUAGAGGAAUUCCUAGUGUAGAGGUGAUAUUCGUAAAUAUUAGGAGGAACACCAGUGGCGAAGGCGUCUAUCUGGUUCAAAUCUGACGCUGAGGCGCGAAGGCGUGGGGAGCAAACAGGAUUAGAUACCCUGGUAGUCCACGCUGUAAACGAUGAAUGUUAAAUAUGGGAAGUUUGCUUUCUGUAUUACAGCUAACGCAUUAAACAUUCCGCCUGGGGACUACGGUCGCAAGAUUAAAACUCAAAGGAAUUGACGGGGACCCGCACAAGCGGUGGAGCAUGUGGUUUAAUUCGAUGCAACGCGAAAAACCUUACCACUCCUUGACAUGGAAAUUAUACCUAUUCGAAGGAAUGGGGUCGGUUAGGCCGGGUUUCACACAGGUGUUGCAUGGCUGUCGUC